This 498-nucleotide ribosomal RNA is filed under the name uncultured bacterium. RNAcentral's name for it is "partial 16S ribosomal RNA". It matches the Rfam family "Bacterial small subunit ribosomal RNA", at positions 30 to 523 of the family's 1533-position model. The record is from RNAcentral.
AUUGAACGCUGGCGGCAUGCCUUACACAUGCAAGUCGAACGGUAACAGGUCUUCGGAUGCUGACGAGUGGCGAACGGGUGAGUAAUACAUCGGAACGUGCCUAGUAGUGGGGGAUAACUACUCGAAAGAGUGGCUAAUACCGCAUGAGAUCUACGGAUGAAAGCAGGGGAUCGCAAGACCUUGUGCUACUAGAGCGGCCGAUGGCAGAUUAGGUAGUUGGUGGGAUAAAAGCUUACCAAGCCGACGAUCUGUAGCUGGUCUGAGAGGACGAUCAGCCAACCUGGGAAUGAGACACGGCCCAGACUCCUACGGGAGGCAGAAGUGGGGAAUUUUGGACAAUGGGCGCAAGCCUGAUCCAGCAAUGCCGCGUGCAGGAUGAAGGCCUUCGGGUUGUAAACUGCUUUUGUACGGAACGAAAAGCCCCGGGUUAAUACCCUGGGGUCAUGACGGUACCGUAAGAAUAAGCACCGGCUAACUACGUGCCAGCCGCCGCCGUAA